CUGGCGGCGUGCUUAACACAUGCAAGUCGAGCGAGGUUACUACUAUUGAUCCUCGGAUGAAGCAGUUUACCUAGCGGCGGACGGUGAGUAACGCGUGGGUAACCUGCCCUAGAGUCUGGGAUAACACUGGGAAACUGGUGCUAAUACCGGAUACCUUUUUGGACAAGGCAUCUUGUCUAAAAGAAAGAUUACGCUCUAGGAUGGACCCGCGUCCCAUUAGCUAGUUGGUGAGGUAACAGCUCACCAAGGCGACGAUGGGUAGCCGGCCUGAGAGGGUGACCGGCCACACUGGGACUGAGACACGGCCCAGACUCCUACGGGAGGCAGCAGUAGGGAAUAUUGCGCAAUGGGGGAAACCCUGACGCAGCGACGCCGCGUGAGUGAUGAAAGCCUUCGGGUUGUAAAACUCUGUCCUCAGGGAAGAAAUAAAUGACGGUACCUGAGGAGGAAGCCCCGGCUAACUACGUGCCAGCCGCUGC
This 479-nucleotide ribosomal RNA is filed under the name uncultured bacterium. Its description in RNAcentral is "bacterial SSU rRNA". It matches the Rfam family "Bacterial small subunit ribosomal RNA", at positions 36 to 518 of the family's 1533-position model. The record is from RNAcentral.